Molecule: ribosomal RNA, 492 nt
Filed under: Klebsiella pneumoniae
Lineage: Bacteria; Pseudomonadati; Pseudomonadota; Gammaproteobacteria; Enterobacterales; Enterobacteriaceae
Description: partial 23S ribosomal RNA
Rfam family: Bacterial large subunit ribosomal RNA
Source: RNAcentral
UAGUCCCGUACACCAAAAUGCACAGGCUGUGAACUCGAAGAGUAGGGCGGGACACGUGGUAUCCUGUCUGAAUAUGGGGGGACCAUCCUCCAAGGCUAAAUACUCCUGACUGACCGAUAGUGAACCAGUACCGUGAGGGAAAGGCGAAAAGAACCCCGGCGAGGGGAGUGAAAAAGAACCUGAAACCGUGUACGUACAAGCAGUGGGAGCACCUUCGGGUGUGACUGCGUACCUUUUGUAUAAUGGGUCAGCGACUUAUAUUCUGUAGCAAGGUUAACCGUAUAGGGGAGCCGCAGGGAAACCGAGUCUUAACUGGGCGUUAAGUUGCAGGGUAUAGACCCGAAACCCGGUGAUCUAGCCAUGGGCAGGUUGAAGGUUGGGUAACACUAACUGGAGGACCGAACCGACUAAUGUUGAAAAAUUAGCGGAUGACUUGUGGCUGGGGGUGAAAGGCCAAUCAAACCGGGAGAUAGCUGGUUCUCCCCGAAAGCU